Molecule: unclassified non-coding RNA, 253 nt
Filed under: uncultured Parcubacteria group bacterium
Lineage: Bacteria
Description: contains 16S-23S intergenic spacer region
Rfam family: Bacterial small subunit ribosomal RNA
Source: RNAcentral
UACGAAUGCCCCAAGCGUUACCCGGAAUCACUGGGCGUAAAGGGUGCCUAGGCGGAUAUGUUAGUCCUGUGUUAAAUCCCGAGGCUCAACCUCGGACCCGCGCGGGAGACGGCAUAUCUAGAGGAUGCGAGAGGUAAACGGAACUCACGGUGUAGAGGUGAAAUUCGUUGAUAUCGUGGGGAACACCAAAGGCGAAGGCAGUUUACUGGCGCAUUCCUGACGCUGACGCACGAAAGCAUGGGUAGCGAACGGG